This 676-nucleotide ribosomal RNA is filed under the name Musa itinerans. Its description in RNAcentral is "eukaryotic LSU rRNA". The stretch from base 247 to 402 matches the Rfam family "5.8S ribosomal RNA". Lineage: Eukaryota; Viridiplantae; Streptophyta; Magnoliopsida; Zingiberales; Musaceae. The record is from RNAcentral.
UCCGUAGGUGAACCUGCGGAAGGAUCAUUGUCGAUACCCACUGACGAGGACGACCGUGAAUGCGUCAACGAUUGCUCGUCGGUCUCCUCCCGACAACACCCCGAAUGUCGGUUCGCCAUCGGGCGGGAUGACCGAGGGGAUGAACUACCAACCCCGGCGCGAAUAGCGCCAAGGAACACGAACAUCGAAGUCGGAGGGCCUCGCUGCAUGCAGGAGGCUAGAACUCCGACGGUGACCCCAUUGGACGACUCUCGGCAACGGAUAUCUCGGCUCUCGCAACGAUGAAGAACGUAGCGAAAUGCGAUACCUAGUGUGAAUUGCAGAAUCCCGUGAACCAUCGAGUCUUUGAACGCAAGUUGCGCCCGAGGCCAUCCGGCUAAGGGCACGCCUGCCUGGGCAUCACACUUUCGACGCUUCGUCGUUGCCCCCUCGGGGUUGGGGGCGAACGCGGAGGAUGGCCCCCCCGUGCCGGAAGGUGCGGUUGGCCGAAGAGCGGGCCGUCGGUGGUUGUCGAACACGACGCGUGGUGGAUGCCUUGUGCGAGCCGUACGUCGUGCCUUCGGGACCCGGGCGAGGCCUCGAGGACCCAAGUCGUGGUGCGAGUCGAUGCCACGGACCGCGACCCCAGGUCAGGUGGGGCUACCCGCUGAGUUUAAGCAUAUCAAUAAGCGGAGGA